Paramuricea clavata is the source of this 170-nucleotide non-coding RNA. The record is from the annotation of a GenBank genome assembly. Lineage: Eukaryota; Metazoa; Cnidaria; Anthozoa; Malacalcyonacea; Plexauridae.
AAAAAAUGGAUCCGAUGGAUCUGAUGGAUCCAAUGGAUCCCCAUUGGAUCCAUCAGAUCCAUUUUUUUUAUAUAUAACUAAAAUCCAUUGGAUCCAUCGGAUCCAUUUUUUUUAUAUAACUAAAAUCCAUUGGAUCCAUCGGAUCCAUCAGAUCCUUCGGAUCCAUUUUU